This 1266-nucleotide long non-coding RNA is filed under the name Olea europaea subsp. europaea. The record is from RNAcentral. Lineage: Eukaryota; Viridiplantae; Streptophyta; Magnoliopsida; Lamiales; Oleaceae.
GCUUAUUCUACUUCUUGCCUAUUUUAUAAACCAUUUCCGAACAGCAUGCAAACCUGCUUGGAAGUUACAAACUCUUCCUACCUAAUCGUGUGCAGCAGGGAGACCCAAUCUAGUAAGGAAUGGCAAAGAUUUCCCCAACUUCGUGGCAUGUUGAUCAUGUUAGUUAAGGGCUUUGUUAGGAUCUUCCUCUUCCUGCUCACGGUGAUUUCCGGGCUCAGUUAACCAUUAAAAUCGAAUUCAACAUCAAAUUGGAGUCACCAAAGCCGCCGGCGCCUCUUCCUCCUAUGGUUGCUUUCCUCCUUUGCUUUGUUGAUUCAAUCCACACACUUAGGAUGGAUACCACUCAGGUAAGGUUCACAAAGACUCAAGCAAUUGGGAUGGAGAAGAAAUCACGAAGAAGAUGAAGGCUGAAGAACAUGGCAGAACCUCUAUCUCACGGCUUCAACUUGGACGGGUUCUACAAGGAUGAAAACACCAAUAUAUAUAGUAAGUCAAGUGGCCAACAUAAGGUAAGUAAGGAUAUGGUAAGUAGGCUCGACUAGGGUUAACUUCGAAUGGAAAGAAUCAACAAGCCACAAAGAGUAUUAGCCGUCCAAUAGGUAAAGCAACGUUUGGUCGGUUCAUCUAUUAUUCGAUGUUGAAUUAUCGUUCAGUCAUUUAUGUCGACUGAUAAAAUUGGUUUUCAUCAUCGCCCGGGAGGUCGUUUGACAGCAUAAUGUCUAACAACCUCCACCUUGGUGUCAAAGGACCUGCAAAGAAAAACGUUUUUCCAUUAGUGACACCUCUAACAGAAAAAUCGAUAAAAUUGAAAUCAUUUACCUGUACCGAUGUUUAGAAGCUCUUUGCAACUUCUAAACUUUACCAGUGGCAGCACUUUCGUGCCCAUAUCUGAAGGAUUGUACUGUGUGUGAAUUUUUUCAAGUCUUACUACUUCUUGUGAUAUUAUACCCCUAAUGAAGUGUAACCUAACAUCGAUAUGUUUAGUGUGUUCGUGAAAAACAGGAUUCUUACACAAAUGUAUGGAUGAUUGACUAUCAGAAUACACAACCAUAUACUCAUUCAAGACACUCAGUUCAUGAAGUAGACCUCUAAGCCAUAGAGCCUUUUUAAUUGCUUCAGUGGUGGCAAUAUAUUCUGACUCUGUAGUGGAUAGUGCAACUAUGUGUUGUAACUGUGAUUUCCAACUAACACACGAAUUUGAUAAGGUGAAUACGUAAGAGGAAGUUGAUUUCCUACCAUCCCUAUCUCCUGCAUAGUCAGCAUCUA